GCAGAGUGUGCCCGCAGAUGAAGAAAAUGCAUCCGGUGCCAGGUGGUCAUCAGCAAGAAAGCUGCGCCCACACGGCUCGGAGGUGGCCGGCGCGGCCUCGGCGCUCGGGCCCCCGCGGCAGCUGGUGGAGGAGCUGCAGAGCCGCUACCGGCAGAUGGAGGAGCGCAUCACCUGCCCCAUCUGCAUCGACAGCCACAUCCGCCUCGUGUUCCAGUGCGGCCACGGCGCCUGCGCCCCGUGCGGCGCGGCGCUCAGCGCCUGCCCCAUCUGCCGCCAGCCCAUCCGCGACCGCAUCCAGAUCUUCGUGUGACCGCGCCCGCCGCCCGCCCUCCCCCUCCCCGCCCGCGUUUUAUAAAGAGA
Molecule: long non-coding RNA, 360 nt
Organism: Dipodomys ordii (Ord's kangaroo rat)
Lineage: Eukaryota; Metazoa; Chordata; Mammalia; Rodentia; Heteromyidae
Exons: 2
Source: RefSeq, a predicted model, not a curated record